AAACACAGGUCACUGCGGUCCACGGUC
This 27-nucleotide small RNA is filed under the name Bombyx mori (domestic silkworm). RNAcentral's name for it is "ovarian small RNA-2426". Lineage: Eukaryota; Metazoa; Arthropoda; Insecta; Lepidoptera; Bombycidae. The record is from RNAcentral.